ACAAGCAGCGGAGCGUGUGGUUUAAUUCGAUGCUACACGAAGAGCCUUACCAGGGUUUGACAUACAAGUAGUAGGGAAAGGAAACUGGACCGACCCUUCGGGGAGCUUGUACAGGUGCUGCAUGGCUGUCGUCAGCUCGUGUCGUGAGAUGUUGGGUUAAGUCCCGCAACGAGCGCAACCCUUGUCAUUAGUUGCUACAUUCAGUUGGGCACUCUAAUGAGACUGCCGGUGACAAGCCGGAGGAAGGUGGGGAUGACGUCAAGUCCUCAUGGCCCUUAUAGGUGGGGCUACACACGUCAUACAAUGGCUGGUACAAAGGGUUGCCAACCCGCGAGGGGGAGCCAAUCCCAUAAAGCCAGUCGUAGUCCGGAUCGUAGUCUGCAACUCGACUACGUGAAGUCGGAAUCGCUAGUAAUCGUGGAUCAGAAUGUCACGGUGAAUACGUUCCCGGGUCUU
This 456-nucleotide ribosomal RNA is filed under the name uncultured Rhodoferax sp. Its description in RNAcentral is "bacterial SSU rRNA". It matches the Rfam family "Bacterial small subunit ribosomal RNA", at positions 925 to 1382 of the family's 1533-position model. Lineage: Bacteria; Pseudomonadati; Pseudomonadota; Betaproteobacteria; Burkholderiales; Comamonadaceae. The record is from RNAcentral.